This 458-nucleotide ribosomal RNA is filed under the name uncultured bacterium. RNAcentral describes it as "partial 16S ribosomal RNA". It matches the Rfam family "Bacterial small subunit ribosomal RNA", at positions 338 to 795 of the family's 1533-position model. The record is from RNAcentral.
CCUACGGGAGGCAGCAGUGAGGAAUAUUGGUCAAUGGGCGAGAGCCUGAACGAGCAAAGUCGCGUGAGGGAGUACUGCCCUAUGGGUUGUAAACCUCUUUUAUCGGGGAGCAAAACCCGGAGGUGUAAGGCAGUGCGAGUAACCGUAGAAAACGCAUCGGCUAACUCCGUGCCAGCAGCCGCGGUAAUACGGAGGAUGAGAUCGUUAUCCGGAUUUAUUGGGUGUAAAGGGUGCGCAGGCGGAUUGUUAAGUCAGCGGUGAAAUCGUGGGGUUCAACCCCAUCCAGCCGUUGAAACUGGGGAUCUAGAGUGUGCGAGAGGUAGGCGGAAUGCGAGGUGUAGCGGUGAAAUGCAUAGAUAUCACGCAGAACCCCGGUUGCGAAGGCAGCAUACCGGUGCACAACUGACGCUCAGGCACGAAAGCGUGGGUAUCGAACAGGAUUAGAUACCCUUGUAGUC